Long non-coding RNA from Mya arenaria, 1660 nucleotides. RefSeq lists it as uncharacterized. The transcript has 5 exons. NCBI's taxonomy places the organism in Eukaryota, Metazoa, Mollusca, Bivalvia, Myida, Myidae. The record is from RefSeq and is a predicted model, not a curated record.
ACAGUAUUAUUUUAUUUUUUUGAAACGAAAGAACAUUGAUCAGAAUAUGCUUGAUCAUGAAAUGGUUGUUUAUAACCGAUAUUUGUUAACAUUCUGACAAACAACGUAGUAACCGAGACACCGUUUCCCAGUUUAUCACGAGGAACAUCCGGUGUUAAACUUCAACGUUUCUUGGUUUAAAUUGUGGAAUUGCAAGUGGUGCUGAACCAUGUAGCCAAGAUGUGCACUACCACUACUCAUGGGAUUUUGCCCAGCAAGUCCACUAUCCACAUCAUGCCAACAAGUUGGGCCGAUAUAUUUCGCCACCCCACAGAAAUGUCAUGUGUUUCGCAUGUGUGCCUUAGGUUCAGCUAUGUUUUUAUGGAAAGUAGACAUUUUAUCUGGUGGACGAGGCCGAAUUGCCGGGGAAAGGAAGUGACAGUGUCGUGAGCCUGGCCCACCACUACUUUCAGCACUAUGGUGUCGGUGAAAAACAUGCUGAGGUUUAUUUCGAUAAUGCUGUCGGCCAAAACAAGAACAAUGCUGUGCUUUGGUAUGCCAUGUGACCUGUAAUGACAGGAUUGCAUGAGAGUGUAACACUAAACACUAUGUUGGCUGGGCACACCAAAUUUGCUCCUGACUGUCACUUCGGCAACUGGAAGGUCCAGUGGCGAUGUUGUAAUGCCGAGAAUCUUCAAGAAAUUGCCCACACUGUUUUCACCUCUUCAAAGUCCGGCCACAACAUCCCACACUUGGUUUAUGACCCUCAACAGCCAAUCACAGUUCACAGUUGAAAAUCAUUCCUAGAUACAUAUUUCAAAACUCUAAAGAAUAUUACCAAAUACCACCAUUUCUAUGUAUCAAAACAUAAACCAGGAGUUGUAGUAUGCAAAGAGUUUGUAGAUUCCUCAGAAAUUGAAGUUAUUCUUUUGAGGAUGAGUCCAGAAUGUGGUGUUUUGGCUGAAAUAAAGCACGCAACGUGCCUAGAUGCUGAACGUCAAUUGUACCUUCAAUAUUCUUUUGGUCCAUUCUUUAGAUCUGAGUCAUCAAGAUCUGCAGUAUGCCCUAAACCAACUCUGUGUAAAGUCGAAGUUUACUCAUUUGUUGGUGAAAUGUCGAUUGUAGAUCAAAUGUUUGUGGCAAAUAUGAAAGAAAUGAGUAAAAAAUGGCAUUAUCACAUGUAACCAUAGCAACAGGCUGUUGUUUUAUGUAGUUCUUUUAUGUCAUUUUGUACAUAUAAUGAGCAAUGUGUACUCUUUGUGUCUAUGAAUUAGUUUAUGUGUUAGCUAUAACAGACAGUUAAGUUAGUAUUUCGGCAUGGACACUGCAUUUAAAAUAAGAACAUUUUUAGUGGACAUUGUUUUCAAACUGGCUUACCAAUGUGUAACAGAAUGAUCCAUAUCUUUUGAUUUCUUUGUACAAAAAUGACUAGAAACUUUAGUUUUUAUACCUAAGAUACUUGGUAUCAUUUACAUGCCAAUAACUUAAAACGCAUUGUAUAUUGAGAACACAUUAUUUGUGGCAGACUUUGAAAAUGAUUGGAAAUAGCAUUUUCAUUAGUAACCAUAGCAACCGAUUUUUGCUUUGACCUUUGUGGCCAAUUUCUAUGUCAUUAUAGACAUUAGUAAUGUGUACUUGCUAUUUUAAUGUUGAAGUUUAUGUAACACUAGUAAAGAUAAGU